UGCACCCCAAUUUGAUUCUCUGUCAACCUGACUUACUGGGUAUGAAGUCGAGAGAUCUCUUCCCCAUACCCGAAAUCGAGACGGUGGAGGAUUUUCUGCUUCUUGGUAGUUUCGACCUGAUGUACUUGGUGGGAUGAAAUAGAACCCAGUCUGAUCUGAUGAAGUGCACCCCAAUUUGAUUCUCUGUCAACCUGACUUACUGGGUAUGAAGUCGAGAGAUCUCUUCCCCAUACCCGAAAUCGAGACGGUGGAGGAUUUUCUGCUUCUUGGUAGUUUCGACCUGAUGUACUUGGUGGGAUGAAAUAGAACCCAGUCUGAUCUGAUGAAGAGGCCAUUGGUCCUACUUGAGACAAACCUCUGUGACUGUUGGAUCUUUGGGUUCCAGAAAUAAUGGGUGCACGAAUUGCUGUAGAAUUUCCAGGUUGUUGUUGAUAGUAAGCCUGAAGAGCUUGAACUCUAUCACGAGC
RNAcentral lists this unclassified non-coding RNA (467 nucleotides) under Hevea brasiliensis (rubber tree). The record is from RNAcentral. Lineage: Eukaryota; Viridiplantae; Streptophyta; Magnoliopsida; Malpighiales; Euphorbiaceae.